GAAAGGCGAAGAAAUGGAGAACAGGAUAAAGGCCUGGAAUCCCUGCUGCUCCAGAAGGAUUUUGUGACCCAUCCUAGUCCAGGGUCAUCUUUGACAUCAACAUGGCCUCCUAGACCUCUGCCCCCACUGCAAUGCCUUUAUCCUAAUGUGCUGCCACAUACUGGGAUCUGAAGAUAAUCUCAUAGCUGUGACUGGCCAGUGAGAAGAAGGAGGAGGAAGGACUUCAAUGACCCAAAAAAACUUCAGAGCAGAGAACAGAGCAGCAUUAGCCUGGCACUUUUCUUUGGUACCAAGUCCCCCUGUCAACCACUGCAGAUACACAGAGAACUUGCCAAGCUGUGAGUCCUCAUGCAUCAGCUGCUGGAUUUCUCCUCCACUGAUCAUGGGAAUUUCCAAUUCAGGAGUCUGGUGGUCAUGCUGUCCUAGACGGAGUGAGAGCAGGAGGACCUGAUUACGUUUUUCCGGAAGAGCACUCUCUCAACAAGUCACUUGGCCUGAAUCUGUCUCUGGGUCUGCUUCUAGAGAACCCAACCUAAGAUAAAAGGCAUUCGGGAUCCUCGCCAUGUUUCUGUUUAUCACAUCUAACAAUUUCUCAUCCUCACAAUGACUCUACAAAAAAACUAGAAUGCUGAGAGAUAAAGAACUGAAACGUUGGAAAGAAGUACAAAUAUUGAUUAUGGAUUUGGGGUUGGCAACUUAUUGAUCCCUAUCUUCACUGCUGAAAAUGGCUCUUCACCACACAUGCUUUCCAGGAGUUUUUGAAGCUGAGCUCAAGAGGUUUCUCUGCUAUGCUUCCAACGUCUUUGCAAAUGGCCAAGCACAUACCCCCUACAGUUAUUGCCCCCUAUUCAACUUGAGCAGCUUUAUCUGUUUUACACAGUAACCUUCUGUUUCAGAUUAUACUUAAAGGGUUUCACUGUAUGCACCUAAUUCAGGUUUUGAAAACCAUUUAGGUUUUAGGAGUCGCAGUUCUAUUCUAAGUAACAGUGCCAACCCUGUACCACGUUUAUUGUAACUCUGUCUAAGCCAGAGCACUGGUAGAAUUUUGAUCAUAAAAAAGAGAAGGUGUGCUUUCUCCCUUGCAGGA
Long non-coding RNA from Zalophus californianus (California sea lion), 1087 nucleotides. RefSeq lists it as uncharacterized. Lineage: Eukaryota; Metazoa; Chordata; Mammalia; Carnivora; Otariidae. The transcript has 6 exons. The record is from RefSeq and is a predicted model, not a curated record.